GACGAACCGUACGAACGUUAUUCGGAAUCACUGGGCUUAAAGGGUGCGUAGGCGGCGCGGAAAGUUGGGUGUGAAAUCCCUCGGCUCAACCGAGGAACUGCGCCCAAAACUACCGUGCUUGAGGGAGACAGAGGUGAGCGGAACUAAGGGUGGAGCGGUGAAAUGCGUUGAUAUCCUUAGGAACACCGGUGGCGAAAGCGGCUCACUGGGUCUCUUCUGACGCUGAGGCACGAAAGCUAGGGGAGCAAACGGG
Molecule: ribosomal RNA, 253 nt
Filed under: uncultured bacterium
Lineage: Bacteria
Description: partial 16S ribosomal RNA
Rfam family: Bacterial small subunit ribosomal RNA
Source: RNAcentral